RNA transcript from Solanum dulcamara, 2613 nucleotides. RefSeq lists it as uncharacterized. The record is from RefSeq and is a predicted model, not a curated record. The transcript has 3 exons. NCBI's taxonomy places the organism in Eukaryota, Viridiplantae, Streptophyta, Magnoliopsida, Solanales, Solanaceae.
CCCCCGCCAACCCCCACCCCUUCCUUUUUAGUCUUAUCAAAACUACACCUCACUCUUCCUUUUCUUCCUUCUUACUUCUUCCCAAAAACCCUAAAAUGGAACAUCCAUUCUUCAUCAAUGGCCCUCCUACAAACCGAUCUGAAGCUUUACGAUGGCUAUCAAUCGCAGAAAAGCUCUUAACAAAUCGUGAUCUUGUUGGUAGCAAAUCAUUUGCGACCCGUGCCCGUGAAUCCGACCCGUCUUUAGCUCACCCAAUUGAUCAAAUUCUCAGCAUCGUCGACACCCUAACCGCCGGCGACAAACGUAUCAACAAUCAUCACUUUGAUUACUACUCAAUCCUUCAGAUCCCUCCUAAUCAAACCCAGAACUUCGAAUUCAUCGCCGAUCAGUAUCGCCGAUUUGCUCUUCUUUUGAAUCCUCAGAACAACAACUUCCCGUUUUCGGAUCAAGCUUUUGGACUUGUUGUUGAUGCGUUUUCAGUUCUUUCUGACCCUUUGAGGAAAAGUAUGUAUGAUAAAGAAUUGGGUUUUUUUCUUAAUCUUUACCCAGUUGCUUCUGCACCUACUCCGGUGAGUUUUGUGCAGCAUGGUGGGUUUAAUCAAAUGCCGGGGUCGACUGCAGACCAACUGUUUGUGAAUAUGCCUAGUCAAGAUCAAGGUUCACAUGCUACUGGAGUGAGCUUUAGUAGAGAUCCGCAAGCUGGAAUUUCAAUGCCGGUUACAUUUCUGAAUCGUGAGCAAGAAACUAUGACUAUGGGAAGCUCGGGUUCGGAGCAAGAGCACCAGCAGCAGCAGCAUCAACAACCUGUAACGUCUCUGAGACAACAGACACAACAACAACCAGUGAGUUCUCUUUCGUUUUCAAAUAUAGAUGAACAACCUGCUACAUUCUUGAAUUUAAACCAACCACAGCCGGUAACUUCUGAGAGGAGCUUCAAUAGAGAAAACCCACCAUUUGGUAUUGGGUUGAGCUCCACGAGAGGGCGAGAACCGGAGGUUACUGUUGAGCAGCACGGGAAUCAACAACCCCUAGAAAGAAAUGAAAAUGUAGUGGUGGGUAACAAUGAAAAUAGACCUGCUAGUACUAGUAAUAAUGCAAGUAAUGUGAAGGAGAAAGAAAGUAGAGUAGAUGCAUCAGCUAGGAAGAUACCCAGUUUCUGGACAGCUUGUCCUUAUUGUUAUGUUAUGCACGAGUACCCUUUGGAAUAUGUUGACUGUACACUAAAGUGUCAAAAUUGUAAGAGGGCUUUUCAAGCUGUUAAGGUUGCUGCUCCGCCGAUUAUUGAUGGAAAAGAAGCUUAUUUCUGUUGCUGGGGAUUUAUGCCUUUAGGAUUUUCUGUGGAGCACUUUCAGAGAAGUAGAAAUAAUGUUUCGAGCUGGUCUCCGUUUUCGCCCAUGUUUACUUGUCCGAGCUCAGGGGCGAAUGAGGGGAGGAAUGCAAAGAAUCAUGCUGUUGGGGGACAGAGUAACGUGAGUACUUUUGGCAAUUUGCAUAAUGCUGGUGGGUCGAAAAGUCGGAGUGGACGGAAGCAUUCUACUCCAAGGAUUUACAGUGAUGAUGAUGAUGACGACGAUGACGACGAUGUACUUGUUGACAUAUCGGAGGUACUUUCUGGAGAUGCUUGACAUAUCGGAGGUCCUUUCUUAGAUAUACUACUCCAAGGCAGAGAGAAAGGGAGUUGGCUCAAAUGGUGGUGGGGCUUAGGGAAAUCAACAAGAGUUACCUUUUUGCAAUCGAAAUGGUUGAAGAGUCUGGUGAACGCACUAUAUUAGCUACUGGUGAAUUGUACCUAGAAUACAUAAGAAGGAUCCUUGAGAGUUUUACUCCGGGGUGGUGGAACUGGAGGUAACUGAUCCAGUUGUUUCAUUCUGCAAAACUGUACUGGAUAUGUAAUGUAUUGCUGAAACACCAAACAAGAAAAAUAAAAUCAACAUGGUGAGACAAUCGGUUAACUUUUUGACCUGUGGAAGCUGAGAAAAUUGCUUUUCGUUCCUACUCUCUUAUAUUGAUUGUAGAUUGCUGAACCACUGGAGAGUGGACUUGAUAAGUACAUCGAGAACGGUGUUGUAAGAAACUUGGUGUCUUUUUCCAAACCAAAUAACAGUCUAUUUUGGCAUUUGGACCUGAUAAGCAGGUCGGUUCUUAGUAGUUUAGUUGUUUUACCACUUGGUUAUCUUUAACUUUUUUCUAGCAGAUUGCUUCUGUUGAAUGUUUUUUUUUCUUUCUGUUUUAACUCUUCAAAUAUAUUUUGAGAGGCGUAACAUCUUAUUGUAUGAUACACUUUCAAGUGAAGUGGGGAAGAGUUGUUGAAGAUUCUAUUGUUCAGGGGUAGCUUGAACUUCUUAACAGGAUUCGACAAGCUCUUCCGCACUUUCCCAUUUCAUUCAAAUCUGUACUCCCUCUAUCUCGAGCUUAUUUGAUGCAAUGAUUUCACCUGAGCCAUUGCAUCGUGAAAUAGUUCAGAUUAUUUGAACUACCCGACGUUUAGCCUGCUCUUCUUUCUUUGUGGAGACACCUUGUCUUAUGGAACUUGUGUAUUAUGUGCGCGAUUUUUUUGUAUUGUUUGUAUCAAACUUUAUGAAUGCAUUUAUUAUGACAUAAUGUUUGUUUCAA